RNAcentral lists this transfer RNA (72 nucleotides) under Tuanshanicoccus yangjingiae. RNAcentral's name for it is "tRNA-Ile". It matches the Rfam family "tRNA". Rfam says of the family: Transfer RNA (tRNA) molecules are approximately 80 nucleotides in length. Their secondary structure includes four short double-helical elements and three loops (D, anti-codon, and T loops). Further hydrogen bonds mediate the characteristic L-shaped molecular structure. tRNAs have two regions of fundamental functional importance: the anti-codon, which is responsible for specific mRNA codon recognition, and the 3' end, to which the tRNAs corresponding amino acid is attached (by aminoacyl-tRNA synthetases). tRNAs cope with the degeneracy of the genetic code in two manners: having more than one tRNA (with a specific anti-codon) for a particular amino acid; and 'wobble' base-pairing, i.e. permitting non-standard base-pairing at the 3rd anti-codon position. Lineage: Bacteria; Bacillati; Bacillota; Bacilli; Lactobacillales; Aerococcaceae. The record is from RNAcentral.
GGACUUUUAGUUCAAUGGUAGAACCCACCGCUCAUAACGGUGUAGGUGUAGGUUCGAAUCCUACAGAGUCCA